UCAACGGUCGCAUGCAACACUGUGUGUGAACAAGAGAGUGAAUGCGUAUGUGUGCGUGCGAGUGUGUGAGUUUGUGUGUGUGAAGAGAACGAAAUGCCAAUCAGUUGGUGCCGAGUUUUUGCUUCGUAUGCAGCACGGCGACAACAAGGCUAAAAAUGUGAAAAGAGAAAACGCCUCAACAAAAACAAAAACCACAAGAAUAUCAACAAUAGCAACAACAAAUAUCAAGAAAUAACAAGCAACAAAAGCGUUUCAAGCAGUCAACGUGCCACAAGUCAAAUCAAAUCGGAGACGCCUCACGUGCUCGUUGCAUUUUGGCCACGUGGCCGUGUCCAAUGGCCCAGUCGGGAGCAGAUGCCACAGCGACAA
Molecule: small RNA, 369 nt
Filed under: Drosophila mojavensis
Lineage: Eukaryota; Metazoa; Arthropoda; Insecta; Diptera; Drosophilidae
Description: GI26291
Source: RNAcentral